GAGACGCGGCGGCGGCUACACAUGCAGUCGAGCGCGCUUCGGGUGAGCGGCGGACGGGUUAGUAACGCGUGGGAACGUGCCCUUCUCUACGGAAUAGCCUCUGGAAACGGAGAGUAAUACCGUAUACGCCCUUUGGGGGAAAGAUAUCGGAAAGAUCGCCGCGUUAAUUAGGUAGUUGGUGGGGUAACGGCUACCAAGCCUACGAUCUAAUAGCCUGGUUUUAGAGGAUGAUCAGCAACACUGGGACUGAGACACGGCCCAGACUCUUCUACGGGAGUGGCAGCAGUGGGGAAUCUUAGACAAUGGGGGCAACCCUGAUCUAGCCAUGCCGCGUGAGUGAUGAAGGCCUUAGGGUCGUAAAGCUCUUUCGCCUGUGAUGAUAAUGACAGUAGCAGGUAAAGAAACCCCGGCUAACUCCGUGCCAGCAGCCGCGGUAAUACGGAGGGGGUUAGCGUUGUUCGGAAUUACUGGGCGUAAAGCGCGCGUAGGCGGAUUAGAAAGUUGGGGGUGAAAUCCCGGGGCUCAACCCCGGAACUGCCUCCAAAACUGCUAGUC
RNAcentral lists this ribosomal RNA (555 nucleotides) under uncultured Alphaproteobacteria bacterium. RNAcentral describes it as "bacterial SSU rRNA". It matches the Rfam family "Bacterial small subunit ribosomal RNA", at positions 30 to 641 of the family's 1533-position model. The record is from RNAcentral. Lineage: Bacteria; Pseudomonadati; Pseudomonadota; Alphaproteobacteria.